AUGUACUGGAAAGAAAAAAAAAAGAUGCUGGACAUGAACAAAAGGGAGAGAGCCAGGCCUUUCUACAUCACCUCCCUCCCUGCUUACCUGUACCUGCAGGCCAGGUGUGCCAAUGGGCGGGGCAGAGAGCCCAGAGCCUGGUUCUUUCUGUUUACAGGCACCGCCCACUUGACUUUCUUGCUGAGGGAGCUCUCUGACCUUAGAGAGACCUGUGUUUUACUGCCUGCGAGGGUGUUUUACAGACUUGAGUUAUUGUCCACAGGGACUCGUUUGAAACCAGCUUAUGGGUGAGGAAAGGGAAUCACAGAGGCUGAAGACUUGUCCAAGGACACAGCUUGUAAAUGUUGGAGUUGAAUUUGAAUUCAGGUAAUUGAGCUCCAAAUUCCAUGCUCUCAGUAGGUCACCUCUCAAAAGAAGAAUUUCCUUCAAACAUCUUGCAGUAGUAAUUAUUUUUAUUUAUUUGUUUGCUUUAUAUAAUUCUACAAGCUGAGGGUCAGUUUACAGAACAAGUGGAACUGCCUUAUUCAAGGUAAUUACUAGUUGUUUGCAAAUGCUUUAAGAAUGAAGCUUUGCUGCUGCUGCUGCUAAGUCGCUUCAGUCGUGUCUGACUCUGUGCGACCCCAUAGACGGCAGCCCCCAGGCUCCCCUGUCCCUGGGAUUCUCCAGGCAAGAACACUGGAGUGGGUUGCCAUUUCCUUCUCCAGUGCAUGAAAGUGAAAAGUGAAAGUGAAGUCGCUCAGUCGUGUCCGACUCUUAGCGACCUCAUGGACUGCAGCCCACCAGGCUCCUCGGUCCAUGGGAUUUUCCAGGCAAGAGUACUGGAGUGGGGUGCCAUUGCCUUCUCCUAAGAAUGAAGCUUCAGGGAACCAUAAAUACCAGGAAGUGAGGUUUUUAAGUCAGUUAAUCCAGGCUUGGUACCUGCAAAGCCAAGAAAGAGUAAAUGGUAUAUCAGAUGUUCUAUAGUUCAGAGUUCUAACUUCUUACUCAUGUUUGGGUUGCUAGAUGUGGAAAAACCUAGAAUUAUUUGUCCCUGCCUUAACAAAAUGAUCAAUUAUUGAAUUAUUUUCUUUUACCUGGUCUUUUCAUAAAGAGGUCAGUAUCAACAAAAUUCUCUGAGAGCCCAGGAUGGCUGGUGUUUGUUUAUCUAUUUAAGAGAAAUUUUUGGUGGCCUCUUGAGUUCGUACAGUUUUAACCCAGUUUGUCCCAUCCAGAUAAUCUUUAGCAUGAGGACUAUGAGAUGGUCACGCAGCUUCCAUUUUGUCCUGUGGACUGUGUUUACCAAGUCAGAAAA
RNAcentral lists this long non-coding RNA (1291 nucleotides) under Bos indicus x Bos taurus (hybrid cattle). RNAcentral describes it as "lncRNA (ENSBIXG00005028802.1)". The record is from RNAcentral. Lineage: Eukaryota; Metazoa; Chordata; Mammalia; Artiodactyla; Bovidae.